Molecule: ribosomal RNA, 522 nt
Filed under: uncultured Frankineae bacterium
Lineage: Bacteria; Bacillati; Actinomycetota; Actinomycetes; Frankiales
Description: bacterial SSU rRNA
Rfam family: Bacterial small subunit ribosomal RNA
Source: RNAcentral
CGGCGAACGGGUGAGUAACACGUGGGCAACCUGCCCUCAGCUCUGGGACAACCCCGGGAAACCGGGGCUAAUACCGGAUACGACUUUCGACCUCAUGGUCGUUGGUGGAAAGUUUUUCGGCUGAGGAUGGGCCCGCGGCCUGUCAGCUUGUUGGUGGGGUAAUGGCCUACCAAGGCGACGACGGGUAGCCGGCCUGAGAGGGCGACCGGCCACACUGGGACUGAGACACGGCCCAGACUCCUACGGGAGGCAGCAGUGGGGAAUAUUGCGCAAUGGGCGAAAGCCUGACGCAGCGACGCCGCGUGAGGGAUGAAGGCCUUCGGGUUGUAAACCUCUUCCAGCAGGGACGAAGCGAAAGUGACGGUACCUGCAGAAGAAGCACCGGCCAACUACGUGCCAGCAGCCGCGGUAAUACGUAGGGUGCAAGCGUUGUCCGGAAUUAUUGGGCGUAAAGAGCUCGUAGGCGGUCUGUCGCGUCGGCUGUGAAAUCUCGGGGCUCAACCCCGAGCCUGCAGUCGAUAC